This 395-nucleotide ribosomal RNA is filed under the name uncultured bacterium. RNAcentral's name for it is "partial 16S ribosomal RNA". It matches the Rfam family "Bacterial small subunit ribosomal RNA", at positions 523 to 918 of the family's 1533-position model. The record is from RNAcentral.
AUACGUAGGGUGCAAGCGUUAAUCGGAAUUACUGGGCGUAAAGCGUGCGCAGGCGGUUUUGUAAGACAGUGGUGAAAUCCCCGGGCUCAACCUGGGAACUGCCAUUGUGACUGCAAGGCUGGAGUGCGGCAGAGGGGGAUGGAAUUCCGCGUGUAGCAGUGAAAUGCGUAUAUAUGCGGAGGAACACGGAUGGCGAAGGCAAUCCACUGGGCCUGUACUGACGAUCAUGAACGAAAGCGUGGGGAGCAAACAGGAUUAGAUUCCCUGGUAGUCCACGCCAUGAUCGAUGUCAACUGGUUGUUGGGGAUUUAUUUUCUCAGUAACGAAGCUAACGCGUGAAGUUUACCGACUGGGGAGUACGGCCGCAAGGUUGAAACUCAAAGGAAUUGACGGGG